Long non-coding RNA from Oncorhynchus gorbuscha (pink salmon), 872 nucleotides. RefSeq lists it as uncharacterized. The transcript has 4 exons. The record is from RefSeq and is a predicted model, not a curated record. NCBI's taxonomy places the organism in Eukaryota, Metazoa, Chordata, Actinopteri, Salmoniformes, Salmonidae.
UACUGACACAAUUCACACUCGACAUAAAAGCUUGCACAAUAUUUAACAAUGCCCAAGCGUAACCGAACCACAGACCGAACAUUGUCAGCUUUUAAGACGCAAGCACUUCCAGCUGAUUCUGAGGAAACUUGCUUUGGUUGAUAAUGUUUGGCUAUUGUUAACACAUUGUACAUUACUGUUGUUUGCCUAUUGAGCAAUGUGUCAGGAGAUUGAAAAUACAAACCGGAAAUAUAAGCCAAACAGAGCCAUACACAGACUGGCACCCCCAAAAAGUCUGGUUAAUAAUACUUUCCUGUGGACAUUUUAUCUUCACUACCUACCGUCAAAAGUACCAGCAGCAUGGACAAGCAGCAAGGGCUUCGAAAGAACAUUUGAAGAUUCCUUUUCAGUAUGUUAUGCCCACUUUGAAAUGAAUUUAUCAUCACAGAGGGAUGACGGUGGAAACAGCGGGGAAUCACAGUAGGAAAGAGGAAAGCCAAUAGCUACACUCUUGAUCCAUCACUGUAUAACAGCAGCCUCAAGAGAGAUGCCUAAACAGAUGUUCGCACAGACCUUUAGAAACAUCAGUAGAGUAUCCUACACCUGACCUUCUAUGAACCAGGCUGUAACAAUCCUCCUGGUUUCAACCCUUGCCUGUCCUGACUCCGUACCCACCUGCCUGACCACUCUGCCUGUUCUGACUACCAGCCUGCCUAUCCACUUUACUGUUUCGGACUCAGAUCUGGUUUCUGACCUCUGCCUGGCCUGCCCUCGAGACUGCCUAUCGUCUGGUACUGUUUGGACUCUGACCUGGUUUAUGAACUCUCGCCUGUCCCCGACCUGCCUUUGCCUACUCCCUUUGUUAUAAUAAAUAUUGGAGCUCUACCAUCUGC